AACGAACGCUGGCGGCAUGCCUAACACAUGCCAGUCGAACGAGACCUUCGGGUCUAGUGGCGCACGGGUGCGUAACGCGUGGGAACCUGCCCUUAGGUUCGGAAUAACUCCCCGAAAGGGGUCUUAAUACCGGAUAAUGUCUUCGGACCAAGGAUUUAUCGCUUUUGGAUGGGCCCGCGUUGGAUUAGCUAGUUGGUAGGGUAAAAGCCUACCAAGGCGACGAUCCAUAGCUGGUCUGAGAGGAUGAUCAGCCACACUGGGACUGAGACACGGCCCAGACUCCUACGGGAGGCAGCAGUGGGGAAUAUUGGACAAUGGGCGAAAGCCUGAUCCAGCAAUGCCGCGUGAGUGAUGAAGGCCUUAGGGUUGUAAAGCUCUUUUACCCGGGAUGAUAAUGACAGUACCGGGAGAAUAAGCUCCGGCUAACUCCGUG
RNAcentral lists this ribosomal RNA (433 nucleotides) under uncultured bacterium. RNAcentral describes it as "partial 16S ribosomal RNA". It matches the Rfam family "Bacterial small subunit ribosomal RNA", at positions 29 to 507 of the family's 1533-position model. The record is from RNAcentral.